RNAcentral lists this transfer RNA (66 nucleotides) under Cantacader sp. RNAcentral describes it as "tRNA-Tyr". The record is from RNAcentral. Lineage: Eukaryota; Metazoa; Arthropoda; Insecta; Hemiptera; Tingidae.
GAUAAAGUGGCUGAAUUAAAGGUUGUAAAUUGUAAAUUUGCUUAUGGAUUAAUUAUCCUUUUAUCA